RNAcentral lists this ribosomal RNA (497 nucleotides) under uncultured bacterium. RNAcentral describes it as "partial 16S ribosomal RNA". It matches the Rfam family "Bacterial small subunit ribosomal RNA", at positions 28 to 507 of the family's 1533-position model. The record is from RNAcentral.
GAUGAACGCUGGCGGCGUGCCUAAUACAUGCAAGUCGAGCGAACGGACGAGAAGCUUGCUUCUCUGAUGUUAGCGGCGGACGGGUGAAUAACACGUGGAUAACCUACCUAUAAGACUGGGAUAACUUCGGGAAACCGGAGCUAAUACCGGAUAAUAUUUUGAACCGCAUGGUUCAAAAGUGAAAGACGGUCUUGCUGUCACUUAUAGAUGGAUCCGCGCUGCAUUAGCUAGUUGGUAAGGUAACGGCUUACCAAGGCAACGAUGCAUAGCCGACCUGAGAGGGUGAUCGGCCACACUGGAACUGAGACACGGUCCAGACUCCUACGGGAGGCAGCAGUAGGGAAUCUUCCGCAAUGGGCGAAAGCCUGACGGAGCAACGCCGCGUGAGUGAUGAAGGUCUUCGGAUCGUAAAACUCUGCUAUUAGGGAAGAACAUAUGUGUAAGUAACUGUGCACAUCUUGACGGUACCUAAUCAGAAAGCCACGGCUAACUACGUG